This 125-nucleotide small RNA is filed under the name Marmota monax (woodchuck). Lineage: Eukaryota; Metazoa; Chordata; Mammalia; Rodentia; Sciuridae. The record is from RNAcentral.
ACUGGGCACAGUGGCCCAUGCCUGUAAUCCCCAAGGCUUGGGGGGCUGAGGCAGGGGGAUCGUGAGUUCAAAGCCAGCCUCAGCAAAAGUGAAGCACUGAGCAACUCAGUGAGACCCUGUCUCUA